AUGCUUCUUCUCAUGAAGAAAUGUUGCGGGUUAUGAAGUGCUUAGAGAGGAUGAAGAACACUUAACAAGAACCAUAUCAAAGCAAAGUCAUAUUAUAAGAGAAGCAAUAACAUAAUUUAAAUAUUAUCUAAAUUUGCUAUUAAUAUUUCAAGGAUCAGUAUGCUAGUAUCAUAACUGCCUUGAUGAUAUAUAUAAAUGUUCUUACCAUGUUUUAAUAGGUGCAAACUUAAAGAAACAAUAAGCAUACAAUAACUGCAUCCCAAAAAGAGCAGACAAAAGCCAAAAUUGCAAAGAACUUACAUUGCUAAAAAGG
RNAcentral lists this unclassified non-coding RNA (313 nucleotides) under Hevea brasiliensis (rubber tree). The record is from RNAcentral. Lineage: Eukaryota; Viridiplantae; Streptophyta; Magnoliopsida; Malpighiales; Euphorbiaceae.